AUCGCUCCACUAACACACAAACACCUGGAGUGGAAGGUAGGGCUGAGCUGGCCCCUAUUACAAGGCCACCUGCAGCCCAGACAGUUCCAAUCCAUUUCCGUUGCUUGUUGUCCCUCCUGUCCUUGCGCGUGCGUGUGCUAACGGACACAAAUGCGCUUUCACACAUUCUGACUCCAAGAUAGGGAAACUGAGACCCAAAGGCCCCAGAGGGGUUUUUUCCCCAGGGAUCUCAAACUCUUUGCAGCUGUGUCCGGUACCUUCAGGAGCUGGCUACAGCCUCACGCUUCCUUAUUCAGAGGUUUGAGGAUAUGUGACAGGAAGAAAUACCUCCAGUCAAUCUGCUGGUAGCGUUUGUAAAGCUUCUUUCAGUCCACAGCAGGCUUUCACUGGCGCCUGCACUGCCCCAUCCUUGGGUUGGGCCGAGCUCCCUGCCCUUUUCCAGAUCUCCUCCACACAGCCGCCCUGGUCAAGUUCUGGGACCAACUACUGGCAGCUGCUGCAUCCAAGCCAGAUCAGUUACCUGUGAGGGGGACAGGAGUCUUUCUCUCCGCCAGCCCCCUGGCCAGGGCAGGCAUCCACAAUCAGCAGGAACAUUUGAGCACCCGCAGCCACCAGGCCGAGUCUGGCUGGGACAUCUGAAGUUCGUUAGCUGCCUGCUCCCGGGGGGCUGACCCCACUUGGUGAGAAUAACCCAAGACAGAGAUGUAGAGGACACGGCAAACAAAGACCAGCUGUUCCCUGAGGAAUAAAACCUGACAGCAGAUGCUGGAAGACAGCCUUAGACCGGAUUCUGGAAAGGCCUGACGUCUCUUCCAGAAGAGCAGAGUUUCCGCCUGAACGGAAUAGUUUAAGCGCAGGAUACAGUGGUGAACGUCUGUCCCCAGCCAUCCAUGGGCUGUGUGUGUGGACUGUUGCACACAGAAGCCAAAUGAGGCCUGGCACUGCGGGCUCCCUGUCAGGGACUGAUGGCAGGAUGCAGGUGCGCCUCCCCGUCUAGCCCUGCCUAAUAUCCCACCUGAGAUGGGUGUGACUUGCCAAGAUGUCACUCAAUCUGCUGACCACAAGACAUCUCAAAGCAAGACUCCACCCUUGAAACCUUAUCCUUGCCUCUGAUGUCCCCACUAUAAAAUUAAAAAAAAAUGCGGGCCCACUCUCUUUCCAGCAUGGACACUGACCCUUAAGGUCACAGAGCCAUCCUGCCCUCCAUCUAAAA
Ictidomys tridecemlineatus (thirteen-lined ground squirrel) is the source of this 1213-nucleotide non-coding RNA. The record is from RefSeq and is a predicted model, not a curated record. NCBI's taxonomy places the organism in Eukaryota, Metazoa, Chordata, Mammalia, Rodentia, Sciuridae.